CAGUAGCCGCGGUAAUACGAAGGGGGCUAGCGUUGUUCGGAUUAACUGGGCGUAAAGGGCGCGUAGGCGGGUUUUUAAGUCAGAGGUGAAAUCCCAAGGCUCAACCUUGGAACUGCCUUUGAUACUGGAAGUCUUGAGUCCGGGAGAGGUGAGUGGAAUUCCGAGUGUAGAGGUGAAAUUCGUAGAUAUUCGGAAGAACACCAGUGGCGAAGGCGGCUCACUGGACGACUGUUGACGCUGAGGUGCGAAAGCGUGGGGAGCAAACAGGAUUAGAUACCCCUGUAGUCCCUGUCUCUUAUAC
RNAcentral lists this ribosomal RNA (301 nucleotides) under uncultured bacterium. Its description in RNAcentral is "partial 16S ribosomal RNA". It matches the Rfam family "Bacterial small subunit ribosomal RNA", at positions 509 to 807 of the family's 1533-position model. The record is from RNAcentral.